Molecule: long non-coding RNA, 1131 nt
Filed under: Junco hyemalis (dark-eyed junco)
Lineage: Eukaryota; Metazoa; Chordata; Aves; Passeriformes; Passerellidae
Description: lncRNA (ENSJHYG00000001513.1)
Source: RNAcentral
CAGGCUCGAUACAGGGAAUAGGCAAAUGUUCCAGAUUCGCCCGCGUUUGCAAACUGAACCUGUUGCAAGGCUUGCAGGUUUUGAGGUUCCUCCCCCUCCCCAAAAUAGCUGUUUGGGGAUUAAAAUUGUUCCAGGCUGCUGCAGGAGGACAUUUUUUAUUCCCUGAAAGAUGCAGCUGUGUCCGAGAGGAACAUUUCGGGAGGAUCCUUGUGAGGGUUUGGCUACUCUCCUUUCUUUUGGAAUCCAUCCCUGUGCAUACAUCACAGCAACAGAGUCCAUUUUCAGAGAUUCAUCCCCCUUCUCCUGGCAGCAUUCCCCCUCUCUUUGCCUCUUUCCUCCCCUCUGACUUCUCCCUGGCUUUUGUUCCCAGUUUACCAAGAUGUUGUAAUGUUCCCUGCUGCUCCUCACAGUGCUGCCCAUGGGGAUAGAUGCCAUCACAGGAAGGAGGGAGACAAAUCCUGUGGGGAAACCCUGGGAGAAAGAAUCCAGGCUUCCACAGAGGCUGCUGCCAGUGUCACAAACAUGGGCCAUAUGGUCAGAAAUGAUCUUCUGGAAAACAAAUCAAACAUCCAGAGGAGUGUGAACACUUCCUGGCAGCUAUCUUUCCUGGGAACUGGACUGGUGAGGAAUUGUCAUUUAUAACAGUAGCCACAAGGUUUUGUUUUAUGUAAAUUGCUCGCUUUUACUUUGCUAGCUGUUUUUAGUUAGAAAAUUUACUUCAGGGAUGUGAUGUUGUGAAUCCUUUCAUUUUUUUCCCCCUCAGUUCAGGGUGAAUUCCUUAAAUCUGUCUGUUUUACCCAGCGGAGAUGAAGGGAACUGUGACCAGCAUGAGUGCUCCUGGUAGGACAGCCUGAGCAGCUCCUCAGCAAAGCUCAGCCUUCCCAUCUGACAUGAACAAACACACCUCAUGGACUUGAUCUACCUUAUCCCGCUAAAAAUCCCAGGGAAAUUUCCCCUCAGAGGUCUCCCAAAAUCCCAGUUCUUGCUCUGUGGACACUCCAGAUUGUGGCAGUGUCACACCCUCAGUUGUUGCAUCUCUGUCGUAAUAUUGCUGCUCCAUUUGGCUACAGGGGAGACAGCAGAACGAGUUCAAAGGAGAGAAAUAAACAGCACUAGGUAGGAAUUCGUGCA